ACGGCGAAUAAAGUUUGUUGAGGAUUUUUGUUUUCUUCCGAUGACCGAAUGUACGCCGCGUAUUAGAUCGGCGUCUUGUUAAAUUACACGAACCGGCAGGUCCCUUUCAUUGCAUAUGUGUCAUUUAAUUGAAGUAUACCCUCAGACAUGGAUGACAAUUCCAAAGAGAAGAUCAGCCGCUUAAGCCACCCAGAAAAAGAGGAGAAGACCCAUAAGAGCAGAGGGAAAGAGAAAAGGAAAAGAAGACGGAGUAGAAGCAGGUCAUCCUCUAGUUCAUCCAGAUCAUCGUCAACAUCAUCUUCAUCAACACGUUCUUCAUCUUCAGCUAGUACAAGCAGAUCAAGCAGUAACGAUUCAAAUGAUGGUUCUAAAGGCAAGAAAAGAAAGAAGGAGAAAAAUAAACAAAAA
Molecule: long non-coding RNA, 408 nt
Organism: Polypterus senegalus (gray bichir)
Lineage: Eukaryota; Metazoa; Chordata; Cladistia; Polypteriformes; Polypteridae
Exons: 4
Source: RefSeq, a predicted model, not a curated record